Molecule: ribosomal RNA, 583 nt
Filed under: uncultured bacterium
Lineage: Bacteria
Description: partial 16S ribosomal RNA
Rfam family: Bacterial small subunit ribosomal RNA
Source: RNAcentral
UGGGAAUUUUGGACAAUUGGGCGAAAGCCUGAUCCAGCAAUGCCGCGUGUGUGAAGAAGGCCUUCGGGUUGUAAAGCACUUUUGUCCGGAAAGAAAUCCUUGGCUCUAAUACAGUCGGGGGAUGACGGUACCGGAAGAAUAAGCACCGGCUAACUACGUGCCAGCAGCCGCGGUAAUACGUAGGGUGCAAGCGUUAAUCGGAAUUACUGGGCGUAAAGCGUGCGCAGGCGGUUUGCUAAGACCGAUGUGAAAUCCCCGGGCUCAACCUGGGAACUGCAUUGGUGACUGGCAGGCUAGAGUAUGGCAGAGGGGGGUAGAAUUCCACGUGUAGCAGUGAAAUGCGUAGAGAUGUGGAGGAAUACCGAUGGCGAAGGCAGCCCCCUGGGCCAAUACUGACGCUCAUGCACGAAAGCGUGGGGAGCAAACAGGAUUAGAUACCCUGGUAGUCCACGCCCUAAACGAUGUCAACUAGUUGUUGGGGAUUCAUUUCCUUAGUAACGUAGCUAACGCGUGAAGUUGACCGCCUGGGGAGUACGGUCGCAAGAUUAAAACUCAAAUGGAAUUGACGGGGUCAUAGCUGUUU